AUUGAACGCUGGCGGCAGGCCUAACACAUGCAAGUCGAGCGGAUGAAGGGAGCUUGCUCCUGGAUUCAGCGGCGGACGGGUGAGUAAUGCCUAGGAAUCUGCCUGGUAGUGGGGGAUAACGUCCGGAAACGGGCGCUAAUACCGCAUACGUCCUGAGGGAGAAAGUGGGGGAUCUUCGGACCUCACGCUAUCAGAUGAGCCUAGGUCGGAUUAGCUAGUUGGUGGGGUAAAGGCCUACCAAGGCGACGAUCCGUAACUGGUCUGAGAGGAUGAUCAGUCACACUGGAACUGAGACACGGUCCAGACUCCUAAGGGAGGCAGCAGUGGGGCAUAUUGGACAAUGGGCGAAAGCCUGAUCCAGCCAUGCCGCGUGUGUGAAGAAGGUCUUCGGAUUGUAAAGCACUUUAAGUUGGGAGGAAGGGCAGUAAGUUAAUACCUUGCUGUUUUGACGUUACCAACAGAAUAAGCACCGGCUAACUUCGU
Molecule: ribosomal RNA, 483 nt
Filed under: uncultured bacterium
Lineage: Bacteria
Description: partial 16S ribosomal RNA
Rfam family: Bacterial small subunit ribosomal RNA
Source: RNAcentral